This 253-nucleotide ribosomal RNA is filed under the name uncultured bacterium. RNAcentral's name for it is "partial 16S ribosomal RNA". It matches the Rfam family "Bacterial small subunit ribosomal RNA", at positions 524 to 776 of the family's 1533-position model. The record is from RNAcentral.
UACGAGGGGGGCGAGCGUUGUUCGGAAUUAUUGGGCGUAAAGGGUGCGUAGGCGGCCUGACAAGUCUGAUGUGAAAUCCCUGGGCUCAACCCAGGGCCUGCAUCGGAAACUGUCGGGCUUGAGUAUGGGAGAGGUGAGUGGAAUUUCCGGUGUAGCGGUGAAAUGCGUAGAUAUCGGAAGGAACACCAGUGGCGAAGGCGGCUACCUGGACUGACACUGACGCUGAGGCGCGAGAGCGUGGGGAGCAAACAGG